GGGUCGUCGCUAUAGCAAUGGGGAGCUGCCACCUGUCCCUCCGAGGGACUCGGUCCACCUGAGGCCUGAGGCGGCAGCGGGGAGGAGCCCGAGGCCCCGAGGGCUCCACGCUGUCUCGUCGGCUGCCUGCGGGCGAAAAGGGCGCUCCAGGAGCCGGGGAGGACGGGAGGGUUAGGUUGUGAGGGAAGCCGUUCCCGCGGGUGCCACUGCCCGCACUGGGGCUGCGGACCUUCUCCUUGGGGUUCAGAGCCCGGGGGCUUCCUCCUGCGCCUUACCGCCCCGAAGCGCUUUACUGGGCGCAGUCCGCAGGCACUGCCUACGAUCUUCGAACUAACACCCUGAAGGAAGCAACUGCAGCUGCUGUCCACUAGCCCAGUGCUAUGGGCCUUUUGUAAGCCCUCAUGGAUUGGACCCCAAGCAGACGUGGGGGAAGGAGAGAAGCUGUAUAGACAAGAAAGCCAGCUGAGUGGACAGUCCAGGGCUCGAACCACGUGCCCCAGAGGACCAGUGCUGGCAUUAAGCCUUGGAAGGUACUGUGAAGGACCCUGCAGUCAGAUGGGCUUGGACGCCCUGGGCAAGUUCUGUAACUCUGUGCCUUAGUCUUCUUAUGUGUAAAGUGGGAAUGAUGAAAGUACCUAUUUCAUAGAGCUCUUGUGUAUAUCAAAUGAGGAUAUUCCUGUAAGCCCCCAGCCUACUGCCUGCACAUUGUUA
This is a long non-coding RNA of Callorhinus ursinus (northern fur seal), 711 nucleotides long. RefSeq lists it as uncharacterized. Lineage: Eukaryota; Metazoa; Chordata; Mammalia; Carnivora; Otariidae. The record is from RefSeq and is a predicted model, not a curated record.